RNAcentral lists this unclassified non-coding RNA (309 nucleotides) under Hevea brasiliensis (rubber tree). Lineage: Eukaryota; Viridiplantae; Streptophyta; Magnoliopsida; Malpighiales; Euphorbiaceae. The record is from RNAcentral.
AAAGGUUGUGGCAGGAUUACUUGAAUGAAGAUACUAAAUUCUUUUCUGCUUUUCACUGAGAAUCUCAACUUUUGGUCAAGGUUUUUGGUUUAGAAUCAUGAUAACAUCUUUUUCAGGGUUUCCUAGACAUCAUGUUUAUAUUUGUUGCCCUUGCUUUUGGUUCCUUUUAACAUUCAAGUUUGUAGCUAAUUCCUUGAUUGAUUAGUUGGUGUAUGGUUAUUUAAAUUUGCAAUUCUUUGGACCGUGCCCUUCAGAUAUGUCUCCUAUCCAGUUUUUAUCAUAUGAUUAUUUAGAUGAUUUCACUAUUUU